GACGAACGCUGGCGGCGUGCUUAACACAUGCAAGUCGUACGGUAAGGCCCUUUCGGGGGUACACGAGUGGCGAACGGGUGAGUAACACGUGAGUAACCUGCCCACAACUUUGGGAUAACGCUAGGAAACUGGUGCUAAUACUGGAUAUGUGCUCCUGAUGCAUGGUGGGGGUUGGAAAGCUCCGGCGGUUGUGGAUGGACUCGCGGCCUAUCAGCUUGUUGGUGGGGUAGUGGCCUACCAAGGCGGCGACGGGUAGCCGGCCUGAGAGGGUGACCGGCCACAUUGGGACUGAGAUACGGCCCAGACUCCUACGGGAGGCAGCAGUGGGGAAUAUUGCACAAUGGGCGCAAGCCUGAUGCAGCAACGCCGCGUGCGGGAUGACGGCCUUCGGGUUGUAAACCGCUUUCAGCAGGGACGAAGCUUUUUGUGACGGUACCUGCAGAAGAAGCACCGGCUAACUACGUG
This 465-nucleotide ribosomal RNA is filed under the name uncultured bacterium. RNAcentral's name for it is "partial 16S ribosomal RNA". It matches the Rfam family "Bacterial small subunit ribosomal RNA", at positions 28 to 507 of the family's 1533-position model. The record is from RNAcentral.